GAUGAAGAACGUAGCGAAAUGCGAUAAGUAGUGUGAAUUGCAGAAUUCCGUGAAUCAUCGAAUCUUUGAACGCACAUUGCGCCUUCUGGUAUUCCGGAAGGCAUGCCUGUUCGAGAGUCAUUAACAACCGUUUCGAUCCCUUUCUUUCAGAAAUUACAAAGAGGAAAAGGGUUUGGUUAUGGUGGAGGAGGGUAAGGGAGCGUUUAGCCUGUAAAAAAAGAGGCUGUGUUCCGCCUCCCCCCCAAAAUUGUACAGGCGGUCGUGUGCGCCCACGCAUCGAGGUGUUGUAAAAGCUGCCACGGCACUUUUCACCUGUGCAGUGCGAGAUUGGCCAGCCGGUUUAAAAACCCCUCCAAACAAUCAAAGGUUGACCUCGGAUCAGGUAGGGAUACCCGCUGAACUUAAGCAUAUCAAUAAGCGGAGGA
RNAcentral lists this unclassified non-coding RNA (425 nucleotides) under soil metagenome. RNAcentral's name for it is "partial contains 5.8S ribosomal RNA, internal transcribed spacer 2, and large subunit ribosomal RNA". The stretch from base 1 to 120 matches the Rfam family "5.8S ribosomal RNA", at positions 35 to 154 of the family's 154-position model. The record is from RNAcentral.